CUGUAAAGGUAUGUUAGGCUGUAGAGCUAGUACUCGAAAGAGGCAUACCGAAGAA
Cetobacterium somerae ATCC BAA-474 is the source of this 55-nucleotide regulatory RNA element. It matches the Rfam family "S4-Fusobacteriales ribosomal protein leader". Lineage: Bacteria; Fusobacteriati; Fusobacteriota; Fusobacteriia; Fusobacteriales; Fusobacteriaceae. The record is from Rfam.